GUUCAAAUGAAGAAAGGCUUAUGGUGGAUAACUAGGUACCCAGAGACGAGGAAGGGCAUAGUAAGCGACGAAAUGCUUCGUGGAGUAGAAAAUAAGCAUAGAUAUGAGGAUUCCUAAUAUAGGUCAACCUUUCGAACUGCAACUGAAUCUAUGGGCAGGCAAGAGACAACAUGGUGAACUAAAACAUCUUGGUAGCUAGAGGAAAAGAAAGCAAAAGCGAUUCCCAUAGUAGCGCGAGCAAAAUGGGAGCAACCUAAAUCGUGAAAACGGGGUUGUGAGAGAGCUAUACAAGUGUCGUGCUGCUAGGCGAAGCAGCAGAGAAUGCUGCACCCUAGAUGGCGAGAGUCCAGUAGCCGAAAGCAUCACUAGCUUACACUCUGACCCGAGUAGCAUGGGCAUGUGGAAUCUCGUGUGAAUCAGCAAUGACCACCUUGGAAGGCAAAAUACUCCUGGGUUACUGAUAGUGAAGUAGUACCCGUGAGGGAAGGGUGAAAAGAACCCUCAUCGGGGAUUGAAAUAGAACAUGAAACUGUAAGCUCCCAUGCAGUGGGAGGAGGCUCGAGACUCUGAUCGCAUGCCUGUUGAAGAAUGAGUCGGUGACUCAUAGGCAGUGGCUUGGUUAAGGGAAACCACCGGAGCCGUAGCGAAAGCGAGUCUUCAUAGGGCAAUUGUCACUGCUUAUGGACCCAAACCUGGGUGAUCUGUCCAUGACCAAGAUGAAGCUUGGGUGAAACUAAGAGGAGGUCCGAACUGACUAAUGUUGAAGAAUCAGUGGAUAAGUUGUGGUUAGGGGUGAAAUGCCACUCGAACCCAGAGCUAGCUGGUUCUCCCUAAAAUCCGUUGAGGUGCAGUAGUUUACUAGACAUCUAGGGGUAAAACACUGUUUCGGUGCGGGCCAUGAGAGCGGUACCAAAUCGAGGCAAACUCUGAAUACUAGAUAUGACCUCAAAAUAACAAGGGUCAAGGUCGGCCAGUGAGACGAUGGGGGAUAAGCUUCAUCGUCGAGAGGGAAACAGCCCGGAUCACCAGCUAAGGCCCCUAAAUGACCGCUCAGUGAUAAAGGAGGUAGGGGUGCAGAGACAACCAGGAGGUUUUCCUAGAAGCAGCCACCCUUGAAAGAAUGCAUAAUAGCUCACUGAUCGAGCGCUCUUGUGCCGAAGAUGAACGGGGCUAAGCGAUCUGCCAAAGCUGUGGGGUGUAAAAAUGAAUCGGUAGGGGAGUGUACCAUCUUAGAGGGAAGGACCCAUGCGAGUAGUGCUGGACGAAGCAGAAGCGGGAAUGUUGGCUUGACUAACGCAAACGUUGGUAAGAAUCCAAUGCCUCGAAAACCCAAGGGUUCCUUCGUAAGGUUCAUCCACGGAGGGUGAGUCAAGGCCUAAGAUCCGGCCGAAGGGCGUAGUCGAUGGACAAAAGGUGAAUAUUCUUGUACUACCCUUUAUUGGACUCGAGGGAUGGAGGAGGCUAGGUUAGCCAAAAUAUGGUUAUCGGUUCAAGGACGCAAGGUGCCCCUGCUUUUUCAGAGUAAUAAGGGUAGAUAAAAUGCGUUGAGCCAAAGUUCGAGUACCAAGCGCUACAGCGCUGAAGUAAUCCAUGCCAUACUUCUAGGUAAAGCUUAAAUGACCUUCAAUAAAUGGGUACUUGUACCCGAAACCAACACAGGUGGGUAGGUAAAGAAUACCUAGGGGCACGAGACAACUCUCUCUAAGGAACUCAGCAAAAUAGCCCCGUAACUUCGAGAGAAGAGGUGCCUCCUCACAAAGGAGGUCGUUGUGACUAGGCUCGGGUGAUUGUUUACCAAAAACACAUGUCUCCGCAAAGUCGUAAGACCAUGUAUGGGGGCUGACACCUGCCAAGUGCCGGAAGGUCAAGGAAGUUAGUGACCAGAUGACAGGGGAUCCGAUGACCGAAGCCUCGGUGAACGGCGACCGUAACUAUAACGUCUUAAGGUAGCGCAAUUCCUUGUCAGGUAAGUUCCAACCCGCAUGAAAGGCAUAAUGAUUUGGGCACUGCCUCGGAGAGAGACUCGGUGAAAUAGACAUGUUUGUGAAGAUGCGGACUACCUGCACUUGGACAGAAAGACCAUAUGAAGCUUCACUGUUUCCUGGGAUUGGCUUUGGGCUUUUCCUGCGCAGCUUAGGUGGAGGGCAAAGAAGGCCUCCUUCUGGGGGGGCCAGAGCCAUCAGUGAGAUACCACUCUAGAAGAGCUAGAAUUCUAACCUUGUUCCAGGACCUACGAGCCGAGGGAUAGUCUCAGGUAGAUAGUUUCUAUGGGGCGUAAGCCUCCCUAAAGGUAACGGAGGCGUGCAAAGGUUUCCUCAGGCCAGACGGAGUUUGGCCCUCGAGUGCAAAGGCAGAAGGGAGCUUGAUUGCAAGACCCACCCGUCGAUUAUGGACAAAAGUCGGUCUUAAUGAUCUGACGAUGCCGAGUGGAAGGGCCAUCGCUCAAUGGAUAAAAGUUACUCUAGGGAUAACAGACUGAUCUUCCCUAAGAUCUCACAUGGAUGGGAAGGUUUGGCACCUCGAUGUCGGCUCUUCGCCACCUGAGGCUGUAGUAUGUUCCAAGGGUUUGGUUGUUCGCCCAUUAAAGCGGUACGUGAGCUGGGUUUAGAACGUCAUAAGAUAGUUCGGUCCAUAUCCAAUGUGGGCUUUAGAGCAUUGAGAGGACCUUUCCCUAGUAUGAGAGGGUCGGGAAGGACGCACCUCUAGUGUGCCAGUUAUUGUACCCACGAUAAACGCUGGGUAGCCAAGUACGAAAUGGAUAACUGCUGAAAGCAUCUAAGUAGUAAACCCACCCCAAGAUGAGUGUUCUUCUAUCCCGACUUCCCCAGAGCCUCCGAUAGCACAGCCGAGACAACGAUGGAUUCUCUGCCCCGGCAGGGAUGGAGCGAAAGAAGUUUUGAGAAU
Molecule: non-coding RNA, 2904 nt
Organism: Glycine soja
Lineage: Eukaryota; Viridiplantae; Streptophyta; Magnoliopsida; Fabales; Fabaceae
Source: Rfam